This 97-nucleotide transfer RNA is filed under the name Caenicola nitritireducens. Its description in RNAcentral is "tRNA-Sec". It matches the Rfam family "Selenocysteine transfer RNA". RNAcentral also lists the same sequence under 3 other names. The record is from RNAcentral. Lineage: Bacteria; Thermotogati; Synergistota; Synergistia; Synergistales; Synergistaceae.
GGAGGCGAGUUUCAGCUGGUGCUGAGCCCGGACUUCAAAUCCGGUGGGGGUCGGUAACGCCGGUCCCGGUGUGUUCGAUUCGCACACGCCUCCGCCA